GUCGACAAUACUUCAGAGAAUCAUUUCUAUAGUAUUCGUCCUCUUUUGUGUUCCCUAAAGGAGCCACAGAUCCCACCCGGGUUGAUGAACAAUAUCCUCGGCACCCCACAGUGAGAUCCUUUUUUACUCUCGAUCUGCCUGCAAAGGCGGCGGUCGCUGGCUUUUGGGCCGCGACUGUAUAGAGAGUGGCGAUGAUCUGUACCCCGCCUUUUCGAGGUCUUGCCUUCGGGCGCUCGGGCGGGGUGGGUGUCGAUGGAAGUCUGACCGGC
This 269-nucleotide small nucleolar RNA is filed under the name Chaetomium globosum CBS 148.51. Its description in RNAcentral is "Fungal small nucleolar RNA U3". It matches the Rfam family "Fungal small nucleolar RNA U3". Rfam says of the family: Small nucleolar RNAs (snoRNAs) are involved in the processing and modification of rRNA in the nucleolus. There are two main classes of snoRNAs: the box C/D class, and the box H/ACA class. U3 snoRNA is a member of the box C/D class. The record is from Rfam by way of RNAcentral. Lineage: Eukaryota; Fungi; Ascomycota; Sordariomycetes; Sordariales; Chaetomiaceae.